GACGAACGCUGGCGGCGCGCCUAACACAUGCAAGUCGAACGAGCGAGAGAGAGCUUACUUUCUCAAGCGAGUGGCGAACGGGUGAGUAACGCGUGAGGAACCUGCCUCAAAGAGGGGGACAACAGUUGGAAACGACUGCUAAUACCGCAUAAGCGCACAGUACCGCAUGGUACGGUGUGAAAAACUCCGGUGGUAUGAGAUGGACCCGCGUCUGAUUAGGUAGUUGGUGGGGUAACGGCCUACCAAGCCGACGAUCAGUAGCCGACCUGAGAGGGUGACCGGCCACAUUGGGACUGAGACACGGCCCAA
This 309-nucleotide ribosomal RNA is filed under the name uncultured bacterium. RNAcentral's name for it is "bacterial SSU rRNA". It matches the Rfam family "Bacterial small subunit ribosomal RNA", at positions 28 to 334 of the family's 1533-position model. The record is from RNAcentral.